Molecule: ribosomal RNA, 339 nt
Filed under: Triticum aestivum (bread wheat)
Lineage: Eukaryota; Viridiplantae; Streptophyta; Magnoliopsida; Poales; Poaceae
Description: partial small subunit ribosomal RNA
Source: RNAcentral
AUGCCACUUCACAGUACCCAGGAAAUCACAUUUUUCAUCUUCAAGACCAAUAGCCAUUGCCAUCAUAAAGCUGGGAUUCAAUCAGGUCAUGAUGCUUUCUGGUCUCUAUCAGAUGGGCCCAUGGUUGCUUUGUGUCUUUUGAUAUGGUAUCAAAUCAUGACCUGUGAUGCGUUGUGGCAUAUGAAGGCGAUUAUUCCAUCACCAAUCAACUCAGAGAUUACAACUGGCAAGAGGUCAUUUUUUCGAGAGCAUACCUGGCAAGAGGACACGAUGAGUGUGCAUGCAGUUCCUCAAAUUUCUUUGAGGAUAUCACCGAGCAAGCUUGUACAUAUUUUAUGA